GCCGGGGGAUGCAAGAGUUAUCAGGAAUCACUGGGCGUAAAGCGUCUGUAGGUGGUGAUGCAAGUCACUGGUGCAAAACUCUGGCUCAACCGGAGGAAAGCCAGUGAAACUGCAUGACUAGAGUGUGGGAGAGGUAGAAGGAAUUCCCUGAGUAGCGGUGAAAUGCGUAGAUACAGGGAAGAACACCGGAGGCGAAAGCGUUCUACUGGAACACAACUGACACUGAGAGACGAAAGCUAGGGGAGCGAAUGGG
RNAcentral lists this ribosomal RNA (253 nucleotides) under uncultured bacterium. RNAcentral's name for it is "partial 16S ribosomal RNA". It matches the Rfam family "Bacterial small subunit ribosomal RNA", at positions 524 to 776 of the family's 1533-position model. The record is from RNAcentral.